GAUGAACGCUGGCGGCGUGCCUAAUACAUGCAAGUCGAGCGAACAGACGAGGAGCUUGCUCCUCUGACGUUAGCGGCGGACGGGUGAGUAACACGUGGAUAACCUACCUAUAAGACUGGGAUAACUUCGGGAAACCGGAGCUAAUACCGGAUAAUAUAUUGAACCGCAUGGUUCAAUAGUGAAAGACGGUUUUGCUGUCACUUAUAGAUGGAUCCGCGCCGCAUUAGCUAGUUGGUAAGGUAACGGCUUACCAAGGCAACGAUGCGUAGCCGACCUGAGAGGGUGAUCGGCCACACUGGAACUGAGAAACGGUCCAGACUCCUACGGGAGGCAGCAGUAGGGAAUCUUCCGCAAUGGGCGAAAGCCUGACGGAGCAACGCCGCGUGAGUGAUGAAGGUCUUCGGAUCGGAAAACUCUGUUAUUAGGGAAGAACAAAUGUGUAAGUAACUAUGCACGUCUUGACGGUACCUAAUCAGAAAGCCACGGCUAACUACGUG
RNAcentral lists this ribosomal RNA (497 nucleotides) under uncultured bacterium. Its description in RNAcentral is "partial 16S ribosomal RNA". It matches the Rfam family "Bacterial small subunit ribosomal RNA", at positions 28 to 507 of the family's 1533-position model. The record is from RNAcentral.